CCUACGGGGGGCAGCAGUGGGGAAUAUUGCACAAUGGGGGAAACCCUGAUGCAGCGACGCCGCGUGAGUGAAGAAGUAUUUCAGUAUGUAAAGCUCUAUCAGCAGGGAAGAAAAUGACGGUACCUGAUUAAGAAGCCCCGGCUAACUACGUGCCAGCAUCCGCGGUACUACGUAGGGGGCAAGCGUUAUCCGGAUUUACUGGGUGUAAAGGGAGCGGAGACGGCAACACAAGUAUGGAGUGAAAUGCCGGGGCUUAACCCCGGAACUGCUUUGGAAACUGUGCAGCUAGAGUGCAGGAGAGGUAAGUGGAAUUCCUAGUGUAGCGGUGAAAUGCGUAGAUAUUAGGAGGAACACCAGUGGCGAAGGCGGCUUACUGGACUGUAACUGACGUUGAGGCUCGAAAGCGUGGGGAGCAAACAGGAUUAGAUACCCGGGUAGUC
RNAcentral lists this ribosomal RNA (440 nucleotides) under uncultured bacterium. Its description in RNAcentral is "partial 16S ribosomal RNA". It matches the Rfam family "Bacterial small subunit ribosomal RNA", at positions 338 to 795 of the family's 1533-position model. The record is from RNAcentral.